This is an unclassified non-coding RNA of Macaca mulatta (Rhesus monkey), 148 nucleotides long. It matches the Rfam family "Metazoan signal recognition particle RNA". Rfam says of the family: The signal recognition particle (SRP) is a universally conserved ribonucleoprotein. It is involved in the co-translational targeting of proteins to membranes. The record is from Ensembl. Lineage: Eukaryota; Metazoa; Chordata; Mammalia; Primates; Cercopithecidae.
GCCGGGCGUGGUGGCGCAUGCCUGUAAUCCCAGCUACUCAGGAGGCUGAGGCAGGAGAAUUGCUUGAGCCCAGGAGGCAGAGGCUGCAGUGAGCUGAGAUUGCACCACUGCACUCCAGCCUGGGCAACAAAGCUAGACUCUGUUUCAA